This 421-nucleotide ribosomal RNA is filed under the name Pasteurella multocida. RNAcentral's name for it is "partial 23S ribosomal RNA". It matches the Rfam family "Bacterial large subunit ribosomal RNA", at positions 2518 to 2925 of the family's 2925-position model. The record is from RNAcentral. Lineage: Bacteria; Pseudomonadati; Pseudomonadota; Gammaproteobacteria; Pasteurellales; Pasteurellaceae.
UUGGCACCUCGAUGUCGGCUCAUCACAUCCUGGGGCUGAAGUAGGUCCCAAGGGUAUGGCUGUUCGCCAUUUAAAGUGGUACGCGAGCUGGGUUUAGAACGUCGUGAGACAGUUCGGUCCCUAUCUGCCGUGGGCGUUGGAUGAUUGAUUGGGGCUGCUCCUAGUACGAGAGGACCGGAGUGGACGCAUCACUGGUGUUCCAGUUGUCUCGCCAGAGGCAUUGCUGGGUAGCUAAAUGCGGAAGAGAUAAGUGCUGAAAGCAUCUAAGCACGAAACUUGCCAAGAGAUGAGUCAUCCCUGACUUUAAGUCAGUAAGGGUUGUUGUAGACUACGACGUAGAUAGGUUGGGUGUGUAAGUGUAGUGAUACAUUGAGCUAACCAAUACUAAUUGCCCGAGAGGCUUAACCAUACAACGCUCAAG